Long non-coding RNA from Lactuca sativa (garden lettuce), 1546 nucleotides. RefSeq lists it as uncharacterized. NCBI's taxonomy places the organism in Eukaryota, Viridiplantae, Streptophyta, Magnoliopsida, Asterales, Asteraceae. The record is from RefSeq and is a predicted model, not a curated record.
AAUAAUGAUCGUUGAUUUGUAACAAUGGUUUAUGAGUGACUAUAUACCAAACUUCUUCGUUAAUCAUCAAAAAGUGUCUUUAACAAAUUGGAAAUUGAAUUUGUUGAAUUAUUUUACUUGUUAUACUAAAUUAGUGGCUUUAGACGGUUGUCAUUUAGUCAAUUACAAUUUAAUUUAUUGAAAUUAUCUAACGUAUGAUCUCUUAUACUAUAUUUAAUAUGAGAUGUACGCUAGAACGAUAUAGUUCUAAAUACUAAGCCUUCCCAUGGUUCAACCACGAGGGAUUCAAAACUGGGAAAACUCUUUUUAUUUCACGAAUUUCUAAAAUAAAUCAUCGUUAGACCAACUUGAUGGUGGUAAAGUCAUGGGAAUAUGUUGUUGAAGAUAAAUGGGAAAUCUCUAAUAAAGUCCUAAAAUUUUGCCCCAGUUUAGAUUUUAGUCUGCCCACUGUUUCUUUUUAUCUUCAUCUUUUAUUCUGAAAUUGGUGCUUUACAAGGAUAACCACAUCAUUUAUUGCUAAUUUGAUUUGGGUGUGAAGAAUCAACUAGAGACUAUGAGCUGGACUUUUUUGUUGAAUAUUUGGGCUUAAGGUAUUCAAAAUCGGAUGGAUUUUUUGUUGAAUUUAUAGGCUUAAGGUGUUCAAAAUCAUAUAGUAAGCUUUAUUAAAUGUUGCAAAGUUUGCCCACCAGGUGUUUGUUAAAAGUCCUUAUUUAACUAUUUAAAGUUUAUGUGUGCUUUCAUCUAUUUGUUUCUGACUGAAACUGGGAUGGAACUUGGUUUCUCUUAUAGAUGAUGGUAGAGAGGAUGAUAAAAGCUUUCAAGAAUGCAUUUGAUGAAAACAUGGUUGUAUAAAGCUUGCAUUAGCCCGUUAACCUGAGACGGAAGAUAAAAACGAGAAACCUCAGGGCUCAUGGAAAUCCAUCUGAGGAAUGUAAAUAUGAUUUGGAAACUUUAUAUAUGAUUUGGAAACUUUAUAAGUGAUGAAGAAAAACCAAGUGUGCAUGCCUCUAGUUUGGACUUUGAGGAAGAAAUAACAUAAAUCCAAGAUUUUUGCCAUUGAAAUCCAUGAUGGAGGAGACAACCUAUGAUUUCAAGUCCUAAAUUUUGACAGUUGAAUAUAAUACCAAGAAGAAAGGAUUGAAUUCCAAACUGCCCCAUCUUUGUAAGCAUGUUGAUAGGUUGCGCGCACAAGUUUCUACAAUGGAACAACAGCAACAACAAAUGCAAGCACAAAUGGAAAUGGUUAUGUGGAUGAUAAAUAUGUCUGGAAAUCAGUCUCGUGCUCCCCCCAAUAAUCCUGAGGACAAUUGAAUUUGUAAACAUCUGGUAGUGUUUGUUUUGUUAAUUAGUGCUUACUUUUGUCAAACUUAGUAUUAGUCAAUAAGACAAUGAAAUGGAAUGUGUCAAACUUAGUAUUAGGGACGAAUGUGAAUUGAAUGUGGUAUUUGACAAAAAAUUGAAUGAAUUAUUACUUAUUUUUUUAUAUGGUAUUUGAGACAAAUGUGAAUUGAAUGUGGUAUUUGACAAUAAAUUGGAAAUUUUUAAA